Aedes albopictus (Asian tiger mosquito) is the source of this 1047-nucleotide long non-coding RNA. RefSeq lists it as uncharacterized. The transcript is spliced from 3 exons. The record is from RefSeq and is a predicted model, not a curated record. Lineage: Eukaryota; Metazoa; Arthropoda; Insecta; Diptera; Culicidae.
CAUCCCACCCAUCCAAGAUGAUCAUGACCCUUAAAAAAAUAUAUCAGUCAUAUAAGCUCCGUUUCGACUAGGGACCCAACGGGAGUGUCAAAAUUGAACAUGUAGGCAAUGUUUGCCCCCGGAAGAAAACUUCCGAAGUUGAGCCUUACCGAUGAAUGGCCUCGCGUUCGGGUGUAAUACGAGCUCCAAAAGAAUAGAGCCUUUACGUUUGCAUAGCGUGGGACCCAAAACCAAUCCAACCGCGAAGCAGUGAAAACGUGCCAAGAGAGCAGAGUAGUUAAAAAGGUGGAUAGAAAGGUUAUAGAAGAAAAGUAGGUGAAAAGUGAAGACAGGCAGAAAUAGAAGAGAGUGGAAUUAAACAGUCGAGGAAAGAUAUUACCCGACAACGUUGACAACCUAACCUACAGUGUGCCGACAGUGAAAAUCUCGAAAGAUAAAACCUUCAAACGAAGGUUCCACUCUAGGGCGUGAACACCGGCUGGAAACCCCUCGAUCAGCUGAUCGGGCCUACACGUGUCGACCAAAGACGUCCCAUUAUCGAGUCCGUUUCGACCCUCGCGGUCCGAGCCCAACUCAAAAGCUCGCCGCCCGGCUGGUCUCGGAUAAACCGCCGCCACCGUCCGUUUAGUGACGGAGCAAACCGCCGCCGCCGUCCACCUAGCCACGUAACAAACCACCGUCGCCGCCCGUCCAGCGACGGAGCGCAUUCUUGUCGCCGCCGUCAGACACAAACGCACCGCUGUCUGAGGCCGCACGCCAUCUAGCAGCCGAUAGGCCACGAACGCUUACCGGCCAACGGUUCGAGGAGAGGAAUCACCCACCAGGAUCAUGCAACAAACGCGCGCAACGAGGAAAGCCCUGACUGCAGCUGCAUGUCGAAGACAGUGACGUACACAGUAAGCGAAAACCGAUACUAACCCCUCGCUAGGAAUAAACAUGUAGAAUUCCAAAACGUUCCUCAAUUAAACUGCAUGCUUGAAUGAAACGUCGAAUUGUGUAGUGGGAGGUUGGAUCAGAAACACGCUAUAUAAACCGUUUAUUUCUUUC